Molecule: ribosomal RNA, 492 nt
Filed under: uncultured bacterium
Lineage: Bacteria
Description: partial 16S ribosomal RNA
Rfam family: Bacterial small subunit ribosomal RNA
Source: RNAcentral
AGUGAGCGCUGGCGGUAGGCCUAACACAUGCAAGUCGAACGGCAGCACAGUAAGAGCUUGCUCUUACGGGUGGCGAGUGGCGGACGGGUGAGGAAUACAUCGGAAUCUACUUUUUCGUGGGGGAUAACGUAGGGAAACUUACGCUAAUACCGCAUACGACCUACGGGUGAAAGCAGGGGAUCUUCGGACCUUGCGCGAUUGAAUGAGCCGAUGUCGGAUUAGCUAGUUGGCGGGGUAAAGGCCCACCAAGGCGACGAUCCGUAGCUGGUCUGAGAGGAUGAUCAGCCACACUGGAACUGAGACACGGUCCAGACUCCUACGGGAGGCAGCAGUGGGGAAUAUUGGACAAUGGGCGCAAGCCUGAUCCAGCCAUACCGCGUGGGUGAAGAAGGCCUUCGGGUUGUAAAGCCCUUUUGUUGGGAAAGAAAAGCAGCAGAUUAAUACCCCGCUGUUCUGACGGUACCCAAAGAAUAAGCACCGGCUAACUUCGUG